AUUGAACGCUGGCGGCAGGCCUAACACAUGCAAGUCGAGCGGAUGAAGGGAGCUUGCUCCUGGAUUCAGCGGCGGACGGGUGAGUAAUGCCUAGGAAUCUGCCUGGUAGUGGGGGAUAACGUCCGGAAACGGGCGCUAAUACCGCAUACGUCCUGAGGGAGAAAGUGGGGGAUCUUCGGACCUCACGCUAUCAGAUGAGCCUAGGUCGGAUUAGCUGGUUGGUGGGGUAAAGGCCUACCAAGGCGACGAUCCGUAACUGGUCUGAGAGGAUGAUCAGUCACACUGGAAGUGGGGCACGGUCCAGACUCCUAAGGGAGGGAGGCGUGGGGAAUAUUGGGAAAUGGGGGAAAGGCUGGUCCAGGCAUGCCGGGUGUGGGAAGAAGGUCUUCGGAUUGUAAAGCACUUUAAGUUGGGAGGAAGGGCAGUAAGUUAAUACCUUGCUGUUUUGACGUUACCAACAGAAUAAGCACCGGCUAACUUCGUG
RNAcentral lists this ribosomal RNA (484 nucleotides) under uncultured bacterium. RNAcentral describes it as "partial 16S ribosomal RNA". It matches the Rfam family "Bacterial small subunit ribosomal RNA", at positions 30 to 507 of the family's 1533-position model. The record is from RNAcentral.